Lactuca sativa (garden lettuce) is the source of this 2299-nucleotide non-coding RNA. The record is from RefSeq and is a predicted model, not a curated record. NCBI's taxonomy places the organism in Eukaryota, Viridiplantae, Streptophyta, Magnoliopsida, Asterales, Asteraceae.
GCAAUCAAUUUUGUAGUUUUUUUGCUGCAAGCUUUCGUUCUGCUUGAUCGUAACAUCCUCCCAACCACAUUAUUUUGUUUACACAACUUUUAACAGCCACCAAAUGUUUUCUUUGUAUUCGAUCACUCCAUAGGGAUAUCGAAAAUCCUAGCCAUAGACGAUGCUUACUUCAUUAAAUCCUCUCCAUCGUUUACCCCGACAACCAUCCAACCAGUCGUUGUUCGUGUGACGCUGCCAACCAACUACCGCACCAUAAUUAAUGUAGGGGAUUAAAGGAAAAAAUGAUGGUGUUGUUAAGACAUGAGAUCUGAAUUCCGUAUGACCUGAUCGCAAAUUGGUCAUUUCUUCUUCUUCUUCUUCUUCUAACCCAACUACAACUCAAUAAAUAAGUUUACUGUGAAAAUUCAAUCCUUUCUCCAUGGUAGCUGAUUUGUUAAACCUCUGAUCUCGGUCUAUAAAUAUCCUUAUACAAAUCAGGUUAUAUCUAUUUUUUUUGGCAGCCUAUAAAAUGAUUGUGGUUUUUUUUUUUUUUUGUAACUAAUAUAGUUACUAUUUAUAUAUUUUGGAAUGCUUAUAUCGUUUCCAUCUCGAAUACUAUGAUAAGUUGGCAGACAAUGUUGGAUUCCCCACUUGGGAAAGGAAGAUAAAAUAUCUUUGUAUUUUAGCUUUGGUAACUCAGAUAUACACUUGGAGACUUGUCAGGGUUCUAUAUGAUUAAGCAUAUAGUGUUUUGGGAAUUAAGUCAUCUUAUUCAUGUGAUGUUUUUAUGUUAUUUUUAGAAUAGUUAUAUUUGGUUUCUUCGAUUGUGUUCCUACAUAUCUUUUUUGUCCUUGGUUUACUUCUUUUGAUCAUAUGCCUUUCAACUCCAAUCUAUUUUCUAGUCAUCUGAAAUGCAUCAGGAAUUUCACAAACACGGUGGAUUUGGUCAAACUCCUCUUAAAGUGCUAAGGUUAUACAUAUUUCUUUUGUGUUUUUUCUCUUGAUUUAAAUGAAAACUCUUAAUUUUCAAGAACUUCUAGCUGGCUAUUGACUUGAGUUGUAAUGGUCAAAGUAUGGAACAACAAGAUGAUAUAAGUGAUUUUAGAUAAAAGGGUUAAUGUCAUUAUAGCCAAUCCAAUUUUUAAAGUUUAUUUUAUUUGGUCAUUGAAGUUUUUUUUUUGUGCAUUCUAAGUCACCAAAGUUUCAAAUUUAGUGUUAAAAAGGGGAAUAUCACCAAGAUGAAGGGGUCACCCGGUCAUAUAGGUGAGUUGGUGGAUAUGUGGCAUUUUGGUCAAUUGAACUCUUCCAUGUGACAUUUUGGUCGACCACAUUAAUCAUCUUUUUAUAGAGAAAUAAAUCUCUCAUUUAUGAGUAUGAUUCAAAAUCUAUUAUCUUUCGUUUGUUAUCUAUCGUCUUUCUCUCGUAAAUAUGGUUUGUAUGUGUGUAUCUUCGAGUUACAGGUUUUUGGGCUUCUCGUUGCUGCAAAUAGACAUGGAUUUCUUAUUGCUAGGAAGUUCAAGUAAGGUCUUUUAAACCGUAAAGCUUCAAAAAACAUCAGAAACAAAUCCUGGUUUGUAAUAAAUGUAUAACAUAAACAAAUUUUUCACUAAAAUAUCUUAUUCACACGUUUUUUUUUCUCAAUUCCAUAUAGGGAUAAUGACUUAAAAGGGGAAUAUAUUUUUUGAUCUGUAUACAUUUAGUCACUGUGUUUUUUUUUCGUCCACAUUUACCUCUUCAACUUGUUAAACUGUACAUAUUUAGUCCUUAUGACCGGCUACUCCAGGUUAGCCGGUAAAAAUGACUUAAUAGGGUAAUAUAUUUCUCACUUUGUACACAUUUAGUCCUUAAUAUUUUUUUGUUGCAAAAUAAAUCCUUUUUGUUUUUGUAUUAAUUCAGUACUUAUGAAUGAUUUUUUAGGUUUUUUCUCACGACAUCUUAUGUGGAAUGGUCAUAUGGUGAUGAGAUAGGUUAAGAUGGUCCUGCUAUAUGUUUUAGGACAAGAUACCUAGUGCGGGUCAGCUAUAAGCUAUAGGCACGGAGACUCGAGAAGAGCGAUUGGGUUAAGGCGGCAUGCCAACAAACCUUGGGUAUUCCAGUCUGAUGAUUGAUUAGACCUGUUGCAUGUUGACAUUCCAGUCUGAUGACUGAUUGGGCCAAGUUGUUUAUGUUUUCAGGUUCUAUCAUUGGUCGUGGAAAGGAGAAUGCAUGACUGUACACACACAUCAACAAUAUUGAGGACUCCACAUUUCUUAUAUUACUUCAAUUUUCGAUAAAUGUAUUUUGGAAUAGACAUUUUUUCUUAAUAAUGGCUUUAUAAUUA